GGAGAUUUAUCUGCAGAUAGGUUGCCACCAGGGAGAGGGAUAUUCUCCCUCAUCCCUCCAGUUUCCAUAGGAGUGAGUCACUCAUCUUCCUGCAGCAGGAGGAACCCCUCCCUUUCUUGGGGAGUCCUCUGGGUUGGCGACCUUUCAUCCGUAAUAAUGAAGCUGCUGUUUUGGAACACAGUGCCAUACUUCUUCCCGUGUCUAUGGCUGGGGACCCCCAGCACCACGGUGAUCCUAUGCACCACUCUGGGUCUGUGUUCUGUGUCCCACUGAGGCCGUGGGGUGAUGGGAACCAGUCAGACCAGAGGGAAAAGUUGAUGGUCACCACUGGGCAGGGCUCACCGCUCGUGCUAACCAGCUCAACACAGCUCCAGGGCAGCAUCCACGUGUACCCACAGCUCUGCAAUGAGGGGUCUGAGGUCAUCUGCCAUGCUCCAUCCUGGUGACCCUGCUGGACUCACUCCCCUCAACCUGCUGCUAAGCAGCCCCAUAUUGGACCCAGUGCCUAGAUGGGACAUCACCAUCACCAAGCAAAGAGCAGGAAUCAAAGCCUGGUGAUAUUAGCUGCCCCCCACUAACACCACUCAAAGCACCGUUGGCUUUCAGCGCUGCAAACACACUCCAUCGACCCGAGGACAGCUUGCACCACCUCUCUUCACCUUCAGAACCCCUUUCCAGCUGACUGCUCCAACCUGACCAGUUCCACUUGUCCUUGCUGAACCCAUUUCCUCCAGCAGCUUCGUCUGCAACACAUUGCCUGCCCUCCCCAUCCUGGUGCUGUUCCUAAGGCAUGAUCCGUCCCACCGUGCAGGUGGUAAAGAGUUACAGGUGUUGUUAAAGGAGAGCUUGACGGUGCCUUGGUCCUCCAGCCCUCCGUGGAGCGUGCACAAGGAGGUCUCAGAAGUGCUGUCAUGGUGGGACAUUGCGUCUGCAGCCUGACAUGGGGUUAACUCUUUGCCUCCCCUCCCCUCCCUGCUGUCAGAUUUCUUUCCCAAGUAAUACAUUGUGGAUCAUCAGCAGGUAGGAGAGAGUGAAAAUUGCUGGGAGGUUACACAAGGGUUAGGAUCUGGGUCAGGGUCUGGGUUGGGGUUAGGAUCAGGGUUAGGGUCAUGGUUAUGGUUAUGAUGAUGGUUAUGUUUAUGGUUAGGAUUAGGUUUGGGAUUGGGGUUCAAGUUUGGAGUUAGGGUUGUGGUUAGGGUUAGGCUUGCGGUGAGGGUGAAGGUCAUGGUUAGAGUUAGGACUGGUGUUGGGGUUCAGGUUACAUCAGGGUUAGAGUUGUGGUCAGGGUUAGGGUUAGGGUUAGGCUUGGGGUUGGAUUUGGGGUUAGGUUUGGAUCAGGGUGAGGUAGUUCUCCCUGCCCUCUGCUUUCUGAGCUUUUUGCAGAGAUCCCACAUUGCUGCAUUGCUUGGGUAGGGGGUGCCCACUGUCCCACAGCAUGUUAGGGUU
This 1446-nucleotide long non-coding RNA is filed under the name Phasianus colchicus (ring-necked pheasant). RNAcentral describes it as "lncRNA (ENSPCLG00000018131.1)". Lineage: Eukaryota; Metazoa; Chordata; Aves; Galliformes; Phasianidae. The record is from RNAcentral.